AGAGUUUGAUCAUGGCUCAGAUUGAACGCUGGCGGCAGGCCUAACACAUGCAAGUCGAGCGGUAGCACAGAGAGCUUGCUCUCGGGUGACGAGCGGCGGACGGGUGAGUAAUGUCUGGGAAACUGCCUGAUGGAGGGGGAUAACUACUGCAAACGGUAGCUAAUACCGCAUAAUGUCGCAAGACCAAAGUGGGGGACCUUCGGGCCUCAUGCCAUCAGAUGUGCCCAGAUGGGAUUAGCUAGUAGGUGGGGUAACGGCUCACCUAGGCGACGAUCCCUAGCUGGUCUGAGAGGAUGACCAGCCACACUGGAACUGAGACACGGUCCAGACUCCUACGGGAGGCAGCAGUGGGGAAUAUUGCACAAUGGGCGCAAGCCUGAUGCAGCCAUGCCGCGUGUGUGAAGAAGGCCUUCGGGUUGUAAAGCACUUUCAGCGGGGAGGAAGGCGUUAAGGUUAAUAACCUUGGCGAUUGACGUUACCCGCAGAAGAAGCACCGGCUAACUCCGUGCCAGCAGCCGCGGUAAUACGGAGGGUGCAAGCGUUAAUCGGAAUUACUGGGCGUAAAGCGCACGCAGGCGGUCUGUCAAGUCGGAUGUGAAAUCCCCGGGCUCAACCUGGGAACUGCAUUCGAAACUGGCAGGCUAGAGUCUUGUAGAGGGGGUAGAAUUCCAGGUGUAGCGGUGAAAUGCGUAGAGAUCUGGAGGAAUACCGGUGGCGAAGGCGGCCCCCUGGACAAAGACUGACGCUCAGGUGCGAAAGCGUGGGGAGCAAACAGGAUUAGAUACCCUGGUAGUCCACGCCGUAAACGAUGUCGAUUUGGAGGUUGUGCCCUUGAGGCGUGGCUUCCGGAGCUAACGCGUUAAAUCGACCGCCUGGGGAGUACGGCCGCAAGGUUAAAACUCAAAUGAAUUGACGGGGGCCCGCACAAGCGGUGGAGCAUGUGGUUUAAUUCGAUGCAACGCGAAGAACCUUACCUGGUCUUGACAUCCACAGAACUUUCCAGAGAUGGAUUGGUGCCUUCGGGAACUGUGAGACAGGUGCUGCAUGGCUGUCGUCAGCUCGUGUUGUGAAAUGUUGGGUUAAGUCCCGCAACGAGCGCAACCCUUAUCCUUUGUUGCCAGCGGUUAGGCCGGGAACUCAAAGGAGACUGCCAGUGAUAAACUGGAGGAAGGUGGGGAUGACGUCAAGUCAUCAUGGCCCUUACGACCAGGGCUACACACGUGCUACAAUGGCAUAUACAAAGAGAAGCGACCUCGCGAGAGCAAGCGGACCUCAUAAAGUAUGUCGUAGUCCGGAUUGGAGUCUGCAACUCGACUCCAUGAAGUCGGAAUCGCUAGUAAUCGUAGAUCAGAAUGCUACGGUGAAUACGUUCCCGGGCCUUGUACACACCGCCCGUCACACCAUGGGAGUGGGUUGCAAAAGAAGUAGGUAGCUUAACCUUCGGGAGGGCGCUUACCACUUUGUGAUUCAUGACUGGGGUGAAGUCGUAACAAGGUAACCGUAGGGGAACCUGCGGUUGGAUCACCU
Molecule: ribosomal RNA, 1527 nt
Filed under: Klebsiella pneumoniae
Lineage: Bacteria; Pseudomonadati; Pseudomonadota; Gammaproteobacteria; Enterobacterales; Enterobacteriaceae
Description: bacterial SSU rRNA
Rfam family: Bacterial small subunit ribosomal RNA
Source: RNAcentral